AGCCUAAAGUAAACCAUCUUAGGUAAAUUCUGCCCAGCGUAAAAAUAAUUAGCGGCCGCAGUACCUUGACUGUGCUAAGGUAGCAUAAUCAAUUGGCUUUUAAUUGAAGUCUGGAAUGAACGGGUUAAUGGGAAUUUACUGUCUUUAUGAUAUUUUUUUGAAUUUAUUUAUUAAGUGAAAAUACUUACACGUAGAAAAAAGACGAGAAGACCCUUAGAAUUUUUAAUAAAAAAAUUAUUUUAUUUUUAUUUUUUUGUUGGGGCGACAUUGAAACAUUUUAAACUUUCUUUCUCACAUGACAUUAAGAUUUGAAAGAUUAAAUUACCUUAGGGAUAACAGCAUAAUUAAUUUUUUUAGUUUGUGACCUCGAUGUUGGACUAGGAACUAAAAGACUAACCGUCAAAAUAGAUUGUUCUGUUCGAACAGAAAUUCUU
This 434-nucleotide ribosomal RNA is filed under the name Stagnicola sp. EEAR-Manitoba-2002. RNAcentral describes it as "partial 16S ribosomal RNA". Lineage: Eukaryota; Metazoa; Mollusca; Gastropoda; Lymnaeidae. The record is from RNAcentral.